Pogona vitticeps (central bearded dragon) is the source of this 658-nucleotide non-coding RNA. The record is from RefSeq and is a predicted model, not a curated record. Lineage: Eukaryota; Metazoa; Chordata; Lepidosauria; Squamata; Agamidae.
UUGGUCCACGGGGUCACGAAUGGUCGGACAUGACUAAAUAAAAACAACAAGGAUUAAGGGGAGAGAUUGUAUUUGGUUGCUUACACCGUAUUUCUGCCCAACCACCAGACGCAUAUGAAGUGCCAGUAGAAAAGGGAGGAGAAGAAGCAGGUCUCUAGGGAAAUCUGGGCUUUUCUAUCAAAUCUGCGCCCCAGUCGGAAAUUGCUGUUUAAAUCCUGUCUUGUGCCUGUUUACUCUUGAGGCCCCAGUCAAGUCGUUGAUACUGACAUACUUAGAAAGACCUCCAGAAUACAUGCGAUUGUAUUGGCUUAUCUAAUCAACAAAAAGGCUUAUAUUGUGAAACUUCAAAUGCCUUCUUGAAGACAACAAAGAAGGACAAAGGGAUUCUGCAGAAGGACUAGGAAUCCAUGUCAAUCAACAAUGGGUCAAGCAUAAGACAGGGCAAGAUGGGAACAUUAUCUCUCCUUCCCCCAGCCAUCUGCCAUGGCAAAGCAUCUGCAUCACUGGAUUGGAGGAAUCAAGCAAAUCUGUCACUAUAACCAGCUUUGUCCAUGUAGGCUUUGCAAUAAACCAAUGGAUUAAAGUCAUUUAAGGGCUCUUUUUUAUUUUUAAAACAGUGGCACACAUGGAGAGACAUACAAGGAAGCAAUUUGGAAUA